UACAUGGGGUGCAAACGUUGCUCGGAAUCAUUGGGCGUAAAGCGCGCGUAGGCGGUUACACAAGGUGGAUGUGAAAGCCCUCGGCUUAACUGAGGAAGUGCAUCCAAAACUGUGCAGCUAGAGUACUAAAGAGGGUCGCGGAAUUCCCGGUGUAGAGGUGAAAUUCGUAGAUAUCGGGAGGAACACCGGUGGCGAAGGCGGCGACCUGGGUAGAUACUGACGCUGAGGCGCGAAAGCGUGGGGAGCAAACAGG
Molecule: ribosomal RNA, 253 nt
Filed under: uncultured bacterium
Lineage: Bacteria
Description: partial 16S ribosomal RNA
Rfam family: Bacterial small subunit ribosomal RNA
Source: RNAcentral